Molecule: ribosomal RNA, 488 nt
Filed under: uncultured bacterium
Lineage: Bacteria
Description: bacterial SSU rRNA
Rfam family: Bacterial small subunit ribosomal RNA
Source: RNAcentral
AGAGUUUGAUCAUGGCUCAGGAUGAACGCUGGCGGCGUGCUUAACACAUGCAAGUCGAACGGUGAAGCCCAGCUUGCUGGGUGGAUCAGUGGCGAACGGGUGAGUAACACGUGAGCAAUCUGCCCCUGACUCUGGGAUAAGCGCUGGAAACGGCGUCUAAUACUGGAUAUGAACCGUGGAGGCAUCUUCAACGGUUGGAAAGAUUUUUUGGUCAGGGAUGAGCUCGCGGCCUAUCAGCUUGUUGGUGAGGGUAAUGGCUCACCAAGGCGUCGACGGGUAGCCGGCCUGAGAGGGUGACCGGCCACACUGGGACUGAGACACGGCCCAGACUCCUACGGGAGGCAGCAGUGGGGAAUAUUGCACAAUGGGCGCAAGCCUGAUGCAGCAACGCCGCGUGAGGGAUGACGGCCUUCGGGUUGUAAACCUCUUUUAGCAGGGAAGAAGCGAAAGUGACGGUACCUGCAGAAAAAGCGCCGGCUAACUACGUG